GUCUUGACUUAAAGCUGCCUCAUGAGAGUCUACUUUUGCCAAGUACUGAGAAGUGGUUCCACUGGCCUAUCCACCUCCCACCUCGUUUCAGAGGCCUAAACUUUGGAAUGGAUAGACUAAGCACAUCAGUUUGUUUGGGGAAGACUAGAAAGCCAGAAAUAGAGACGAGAAUACAGAACUCGGGCCCAGGGAAAUGGCAGAACCACAGGAGUGGACCAGAGCCUAUGCCUAUAACCCAAAGCCUGUCAACAAAUAAUCACAUCGUGGCAUGGGUGAG
This 277-nucleotide long non-coding RNA is filed under the name Homo sapiens (human). RNAcentral's name for it is "HSALNT0085854". The record is from RNAcentral. Lineage: Eukaryota; Metazoa; Chordata; Mammalia; Primates; Hominidae.